This 465-nucleotide ribosomal RNA is filed under the name uncultured bacterium. Its description in RNAcentral is "partial 16S ribosomal RNA". It matches the Rfam family "Bacterial small subunit ribosomal RNA", at positions 28 to 507 of the family's 1533-position model. The record is from RNAcentral.
GACGAACGCUGGCGGCGUGCUUAACACAUGCAAGUCGAACGCUGAACCCGCUUCGGUGGGGGAUGAGUGGCGAACGGGUGAGUAACACGUGGGCAACCUGCCCCCGGCUCUGGGAUAACUCCAAGAAAUUGGGGCUAAUACCGGAUGUGACCGCUGGCCGCAUGGUCUGGUGGUGGAAAGGGUUUCCGGCCGGGGAUGGGCCCGCGGCCUAUCAGCUUGUUGGUGGGGUAGUGGCCUACCAAGGCGACGACGGGUAGCCGGCCUGAGAGGGUGACCGGCCACACUGGGACUGAGACACGGCCCAGACUCCUACGGGAGGCAGCAGUGGGGAAUAUUGCGCAAUGGGCGGAAGCCUGACGCAGCGACGCCGCGUGGGGGAUGACGGCCUUCGGGUUGUAAACCUCUUUCAGCAGGGACGAAGCGCAAGUGACGGUACCUGCAGAAGAAGCACCGGCCAACUACGUG